RNAcentral lists this ribosomal RNA (662 nucleotides) under Geobacillus subterraneus. RNAcentral's name for it is "bacterial LSU rRNA". It matches the Rfam family "Bacterial large subunit ribosomal RNA", at positions 2159 to 2820 of the family's 2925-position model. The record is from RNAcentral. Lineage: Bacteria; Bacillati; Bacillota; Bacilli; Caryophanales; Anoxybacillaceae.
GAAGCCGGAGCGCCAGCUUCGGUGGAGGCGUCGGUGGGAUACCACCCUGGCGGUAUUGAAAUUCUAACCCGCACCCCUUAGCGGGGUGGGAGACAGUGUCAGGUGGGCAGUUUGACUGGGGCGGUCGCCUCCCAAAAGGUAACGGAGGCGCCCAAAGGUUCCCUCAGAAUGGUUGGAAAUCAUUCGGAGAGUGCAAAGGCACAAGGGAGCUUGACUGCGAGACGGACAGGUCGAGCAGGGACGAAAGUCGGGCUUAGUGAUCCGGUGGUUCCGCAUGGAAGGGCCAUCGCUCAACGGAUAAAAGCUACCCCGGGGAUAACAGGCUGAUCUCCCCCAAGAGUCCACAUCGACGGGGAGGUUUGGCACCUCGAUGUCGGCUCAUCGCAUCCUGGGGCUGUAGUCGGUCCCAAGGGUUGGGCUGUUCGCCCAUUAAAGCGGUACGCGAGCUGGGUUCAGAACGUCGUGAGACAGUUCGGUCCCUAUCCGUCGCGGGCGCAGGAAAUUUGAGAGGAGCUGUCCUUAGUACGAGAGGACCGGGAUGGACGCACCGCUGGUGUACCAGUUGUCCCGCCAGGGGCACCGCUGGGUAGCUAUGUGCGGACGGGAUAAGCGCUGAAAGCAUCUAAGCGUGAAGCCCCCCUCAAGAUGAGAUUUCCCAUCGC